RNAcentral lists this long non-coding RNA (1408 nucleotides) under Anas platyrhynchos platyrhynchos (common mallard). Its description in RNAcentral is "lncRNA (ENSAPLG00000019684.1)". Lineage: Eukaryota; Metazoa; Chordata; Aves; Anseriformes; Anatidae. The record is from RNAcentral.
UAGGAUGGUCUGGGUUGGAAGGGACCUUAAAGCUCACCUUGUUCCAACCCCCUGCCAUGGGAAGGGACACCUCCCCCCAGACCAGGUUGCCCAAAGCCCCAUCCAGCCUGGCCUUGAGCACCUCCAGGGAUGGGGCCUACCAUUAGUCUCUGCGUUGGUCAAGGGUUUUCUACGGGUCCUUGCAGCAGUAGGUCCUUCUCCCCUGUUCUCUCCUGGCAGGUAUCUUCAGGGCCACCUAAUGUUCAUGCCUACGAACCCACCAGAGCUGCUCACCCAUUCUCUUCCCUGCACGAUGGGGGUGUUCUCCGUGGGUAGUGCCAACACUGAAAAGUCACCCUCGCCUCAACAGCUUGGCAUGGGCACUCGUGCUCUGCAGGCUUUCCUUUGAAGACCUGCGGUUAUCGGUAAACAAUUCUCCCUAGCAGGUCACAGAGAAUAGCACUCCAAAGUUUAUCUGGAGUGAAAAAUUAUCUGACAGAUCUUCUGCAUCUGGUUUUGAGAGCUAAUUCGUAAUUAUGUGUAGUUCCCCAAGCUCGCUGAAAUAUUUGCACUUAUACUUUGAAGUGUUCAGCAUGACCGGGUUUAUUAUUUACAGUUAUUUGAAGGUGUUUCUUUAUUUAUGUCUUUAGAGGCUGGAAGGAGGAGUAUUUUUUUUUCAAGUAAUUAUGUGCAAAUAUACAUGUAUUGUGUGUACAAGGACAGGUAAGUAACUUUUCAAAAGAAAUACCCUACAACUUGUAGGGACUGCGUUGUAACAGCUCCCAGGUCUGAAGCUCCAGCAGCAAGGAGCAGGAGGGGAAGGAGAUGAAUUCUUGAAGAGGUUGCAAGAGGUAAUCCCUAAAAAUCCUCUGAUACCUGGGUGCAAUAUUGGGCAGAGAAUAAAGAUUCCCUUGAAGAGCUAAUCAGCUGGAGUCCUCAAGGAGGAAGGAAGGGAAAGAAGAACGGAAAAAGAGAAAAAAAAAAGAAGAAAAAGGAUGCAUCAAAGUAGGUGGGUAUGUGUAUGCAGGCUGUGUAUUUAGUGAAGCAAACAUAUUGCAUAAUUACUACUUGGGAAGAAAUCCUUAAAUUGUUACUUCCUGUCCAAUGCGGCUUUCACUCUUUAACUUGGUGUUUCUUAAAAAUUGGCGAGAUCCCGUGUAAUCCUCUUACUGCUGCUGUUAGGAGCAGCAAGAGAGAUGAUCUCCAGCUUCAGCCCGGUGCCGCGCUCCAGCCGCACGGCUGGAACACUGCCAGAUGUGGGGAACGUGCUCUCUUCACAGGACACGGUGGCCUGACUGAUGCUGAAAGAGAGGCUGGAACUUGCAGAAGACGUGUAGGUACGGCACGAUCUAUUCAACGUCUUGAAGGUGAAGCAGUUUUCCUGUACCGACGUGAAAAGAAAACACGGACAGAGGCUUGCAGCCCAUGA